Mercenaria mercenaria is the source of this 1052-nucleotide long non-coding RNA. RefSeq lists it as uncharacterized. The record is from RefSeq and is a predicted model, not a curated record. Lineage: Eukaryota; Metazoa; Mollusca; Bivalvia; Venerida; Veneridae. The transcript has 3 exons.
AUGGCAGCUAGAUGUAAAAAAAAUGGUCUGAGUGUACGAACGGAAGAUGUGCGUAUCAUUUUACAUCACUUGGACCCGGUAGGUGUGUCUCUGCGGAGAGCAAGAUGUCUUCGCAGGCGUGCUUAUUAUGCUGCGGGUCCAAACUUCAUUUGGCACUUAGAUGGCUAUGAUAAACUCAAGUCGUUUGGGCUUUGUAUAAGCGGUUGUAUUUGUGUUUUUUCCAGACGUAUGAUUUGGCUGAAUCUGUAUAACACAAAUAAUAACCCCAGAGUCAUCGGUGGCUACUUUCUCGAGGUAGUAGAACAAUUUGCUGGCUGUCCUCGAUUUGUUAGAGGAGAUUAUGGGACAGAGAAUGGACACAUCCGCAAUUUCCAAACAUUUUUCAGGCGCCAUUCUCCUGACAGCGAUAGAUCUUAUAUCGAUGGAGUCAGUACAGCGAACCAAAGAAUUGAAUGUUGGUGGGGUUACCUAAGAAGACACCAUAUGCAUUACUGGAUCGAGUGAUUAAAAGACCUACAGGAUCAUGGAAAUUUUAGUGGAAACUUCAUCGAUAGAAGCUUGGUCCAGUUUUGUUUCCUUGCAUUAAUUCAGAACUGUGUCAUGUCAUGCAUAUUAAUGAAAGUAGUCCGGCAGCGUACAGAACGGAAGGUACAAUAUGGAAUUUAAAAGGACAAACUCGAUAUGGCCUUUCGAAUGUGGAACAAUCACCACAUUAGACGUUCGUCUAAUGUUAUGGUGCCAUUUGGCCGACCAGAAAAUAUGUACUUCUUCCCGUCAUUGUGGAACGCAGAGAAUCAGAUUGUAGCAGUUUCAGAGGCUGAUAUGGCAGCGUGUUCUAGAGAAGCUGAAAUUUCUAUCAGUUAUUCCUUGUGAUCAAGAUGUGUAUGAAGUUUGCGUGGCUAUCAUGCAGGAGCACAACCUUACACCCGCACAGACCUGUCAAGAGGCUACAGAUUUAUAUUUAUAUCUUCAAAGAGAAAUACUGGCGACACUUUAAAAGAAAGGACUGACAUUCUAUCGUUUUAUGUUAAAUGGCAUGUAUAAGUACACUG